GAUGAACGCUGGCGGCGUGCCUAAUACAUGCAAGUCGAGCGAACGGACGAGAAGCUUGCUUCUCUGAUGUUAGCGGCGGACGGGUGAGUAACACGUGGAUAACCUACCUAUAAGACUGGGAUAACUUCGGGAAACCGGAGCUAAUACCGGAUGAUAUUUUGAACCGCAUGGUUCAAAAGUGAAAGACGGUCUUGCUGUCACUUAUAGAUGGAUCCGCGCUGCAUUAGCUAGUUGGUAAGGUAACGGCUUACCAAGGCAACGAUGCAUAGCCGACCUGAGAGGGUGAUCGGCCACACUGGAACUGAGACACGGUCCAGACUCCUACGGGAGGCAGCAGUAGGGAAUCUUCCGCAAUGGGCGAAAGCCUGACGGAGCAACGCCGCGUGAGUGAUGAAGGUCUUCGGAUCGUAAAACUCUGUUAUUAGGGAAGAACAUAUGUGUAAGUAACUGUGCACAUCUUGACGGUACCUAUUCAGAAAGCCACGGCUAACUACGUG
This 497-nucleotide ribosomal RNA is filed under the name uncultured bacterium. RNAcentral describes it as "partial 16S ribosomal RNA". It matches the Rfam family "Bacterial small subunit ribosomal RNA", at positions 28 to 507 of the family's 1533-position model. The record is from RNAcentral.